This is a long non-coding RNA of Sinocyclocheilus rhinocerous, 259 nucleotides long. RefSeq lists it as uncharacterized. The transcript has 3 exons. The record is from RefSeq and is a predicted model, not a curated record. Lineage: Eukaryota; Metazoa; Chordata; Actinopteri; Cypriniformes; Cyprinidae.
AGACGCUGAAACAGGAAAACAUGACCAAACAAGUUGUCUAGCACACCAGAUCAUUUUAUAAACACCUAAAAGAGGAUUAUAAGUGAACAAUUUAACGUGGAGCGUUUGCUUCGCUGCAUCAGAAUUUGCGGAUGUUGACAGAAGUGAAGAAUUUUGACCGAUUUCAAGUCUUCACCUCAAGCACAGGAGCCCUACACCAAACGAAUGCUGGAGAGGUAAUCCAGCAUGUUCCAGUGCCAAAUGAACAGGGAGGCCUGCA